GACGAACGCUGGCGGCGUGCUUAACACAUGCAAGUCGAACGGAAAGGCCCUGCUUUUGUGGGGUGCUCGAGUGGCGAACGGGUGAGUAACACGUGAGUAACCUGCCCUUGACUUUGGGAUAACUUCAGGAAACUGGGGCUAAUACCGGAUAGGAGCUCCUGCUGCAUGGUGGGGGUUGGAAAGUUUCGGCGGUUGGGGAUGGACUCGCGGCUUAUCAGCUUGUUGGUGGGGUAGUGGCUUACCAAGGCUUUGACGGGUAGCCGGCCUGAGAGGGUGACCGGCCACAUGGGGACUGAGAGACGGCCCAGACUCCUACGGGAGGCAGCAGUGGAGAAUAUUGCACAAUGGGCGGAAGCCUGAUGCAGCAACGCCGCGUGCGGGAUGACGGCCUUCGGGUUGUAAACCGCUGUCGCCUGUGACGAAGCGUGAGUGACGGUAAUGGGUAAAGAAGCACCGGCUAACUACGUG
Molecule: ribosomal RNA, 468 nt
Filed under: uncultured bacterium
Lineage: Bacteria
Description: partial 16S ribosomal RNA
Rfam family: Bacterial small subunit ribosomal RNA
Source: RNAcentral